RNAcentral lists this long non-coding RNA (241 nucleotides) under Lathyrus oleraceus (garden pea). RNAcentral describes it as "Pisum sativum (pea) long non-coding RNA (PSAT_LNC007476)". The record is from RNAcentral. Lineage: Eukaryota; Viridiplantae; Streptophyta; Magnoliopsida; Fabales; Fabaceae.
AAGAAAAGUGAUUUUUUUUUGUUUCAAAUGAAAGUAGAGAGAAUGAAUCUAGUGCUAGAAUUAAAAAGUUUCCCCCUCCGUCUCAUAAUAAGUAUCUUAUUUGAGUUAUGUGCGGUUCUUAAAAAAAUGAUUAGAUGUGUUGAUUUUAAUGAUAAAAUUAAUAUCAUUUACUAAAAUAGUCUUAUUUAUUAUAGUUAGUGGAGUUGUUGAAAAGAGUGAAAGUUAAUAGAUAGGGGUAAAG